UCGCUAAAAAUAUUUUUGCAGGCGGGUGUAUCUACCGCCGGCCAAAAUGAUUUUCGUAGGCGGACCGCUUGGCCGCCUGCGAAAGUCAUAUAUUUUCGCAAGCCUUUGCGUACAGGCGGUUCUUUCCCCUGCCUGGAAAAACUAUUUUUGGCCGCCUAGAAAAACGUUUUUUCUAGUAGUGAUUGUUGUCGUCCUCGUCAUCGCCAUCAUUGCUCGAAGCCGCUGCCGUUGUUGUCACCAUCCUUGUCCUCAUCCUCCUCCUCAUCAUCGGGUGUAGGGGCGGGCGGGAUCCGCGCGGGAGAAGAAAGGGGUGCCAGUUCCGCUCCUCACGUUGCCACCGCCACAUCAUAGGGGCUGGAUCCGUCGCUGCCAAGUCUCCACAGUGCCAGAUCCGCCGCCACCAAGCCUCCCCACCGCCGCCACUAAGUCUCUCGACCUGCACCACCUGAUCAUCCCCUCUCGAGGCCAGCCGGCUGUGGAUCCGCGAGGGAGGCAGCGAGGCCCAUCCGCCGUCACCGUCGCUGACCUCCUCCGCCGCCACCGGAUCCGCCCCUAUCGUGGCCAACUGGUUGCAGAUCCAACCUCUUCAUUGACCUGCCGUAUGAAAUAGAAAACACAAUAUAAGACCCAAAAUGCCGAGUAGUGAGCAAAGGAGAUCAUAGAUGAAAUAGCUUGAUAGUCAACUUUAACCUAAGAUUUGCCCGUCAAACCACUGUAACACUGUAAGUAGUGACCGAAUGUGUUAUAUAUGCCAGGGACUUGACUCAAAAUGCUAAAUUUCACGAUCAUCUCAAUUGCUCAAAACCGUUAGUCCGUUACUCAUGAUCAGCUAGCCCAAGGAAGUUACUGGCUUCAUACUUUCGUCUUAGCCAAGAUAUCAAAACUCGUACAACUUAGAAACCACUAGAUACAUAUAGCUAAAUCAUAUAUAUACGGUCGACCAGCCAAUAGUAAAGGUUCAGCAGAAAGUAUGUCUACCUUAGUUAGAACCGUCUUAAUGAUCAACCGUUCUAGCAUCACUCAAACAUAAGCAACAAAUCUAUUCUAUCAAUUAGCAUUUGUGAGUUAUGAAUUUUCCAUGUUCUAUGUUAGUUAUACGUUAUUUAAGUUAAACUUAAUUCUUAGUGUAGUUUAUAUCUAAGUUCAUGUUAACGCCAAAAUUUAGUUAGAUUCUUUAGUGGGUUCGGUUAAGGAAAGAGCACAAUCAGCCGAUGGAAAUCUUAUCCAGAAGAGUCCGAGUUCAAAAAGGAAUCAUGGGGACCAUGACAUGGCAGCUUAAUUUAUCUAUUAAUUAGGCAAGUUUUGAUUUUAGAAAAGUUUGGGUCAUGUCCAAUGAGGACUUUAUAUUUUUCCUUUUAUCUUUAGAAAAGUUUGUUUAGUGUCCGAUCAGGACUCAUAUCUACCCAUGGUUACAAAUAUGUACACUUGGGGUCUCUGUAAAGUAUAUCCAGAUCAAUACAACUUCGGCGCAUAGCCACCCUUUUUAUUUUCGUCUUUGUUGACGAGUUCUUGUUUCGAAUUGGGCUACAUCGGCUUUGAUCUCCGACGAGGAGUAAGGCUUGUUAUGGCUGUUUAUAUUGGCGGGGCUAGGGCCUCGACAUUCUAAUCUUGUCGAUGUAAACACCUAUUUAUAAUAUAUCUCAGUUAAUCUAAGUUGAUGUCUCAAUUUACCUGUAUCGUCUAGAUCUUUAGUAGGGUUUUGUUGGUAUCAGUUAAAUUGUUUUAUCGAUCCAGAUUAGCUAAGGUAUCCACCACCCUGAAAAUCAGUCAAAGACUUGAUUGUUUAGAUUUUAUGUUUCUUUUCAUACUUAGUGCUGCAUCAAUUGAGUUUGACAUACUAAGUCAUGCUUAGAAUCAUAGAAACUAACUUGCCAAUAAGGGUUUCAUCGGGGUUUCACACCCGGAGAUUUCUCCUUUCCCUUAGUUUUUAAUUCUUUAAUAAAUCUCUCGAAGAAAACAUUCUGUCUAACCUGGAGCAAACCUCAAUUUAAUAAUGCACGUUAUAAUCAGAAUUGCCAUGGGAAUGUUUUUUGGUAGGGAUGAAAACGGAUCGAAUACGGUCGGAAACUAGCUCUACCAUAUUCGUUUUCAUAAUUUUUUUUGGAAUCGAAAUCGGAAUCAGAAACCCGGAUAUGAAAACGGAAUCGAAUAUUAUCGAAUACAAAUACGGAGCGAAUACGAAGCGAAACAAAUACGGUGACGAAUAUUAAUCGGAAUAUAAAAACCUCUCACUACUCACAAACGAUUUUUGAUAUUGUGUUUCUAAAAUCAUGCUCUAUCAUGUUAUUGUGUUUUUACCGCUAUUAUUUUGGCAAUUUUUUCGUGACUUUGUUUUAUCAAUUAAAAAUUUGAAUUUCAAAACUUCAAAUGAUAUUUUGAAGCAGUAAAUAAAUUCAGCUAAAAAAGUCAUGAACAUAAAAGUUGUAGAACUCAUCAAGACAUACAACUUUUAUUUUGGUCAUUUCUUCAUCCGACAAAAUGAUAGUAACAUUGUUCACAAAACUUACCUCUCUCAUUUAGUUUGUAAAACUAAAUGAGAGAGAUGUAAAUUUUGUGAACAAUGUUAUUAUCACUUUGUCGGAUGAAGAAAUGACCAAAAUAAAAGUUAGAGAUCUUGAUGAUUUAUAAACUUUGUUGUUGAUGACUUUUUUAGUUGAAAUCAUUUAAUAUUUGAAAAUGUUGUUUGAAGUUAUCAUAUUUUCAAAUUCAAAUUCAAAUUGUUCAAACAAAGUCAUAUAGAAAAAUGAUCAAAAAUAAAAGUUAUAGAUCUUGAUAAGUUAUACAACUUUAUUUUUGACAAUUUUUCCAUUUGAAAUCAUUUACUACCCGAAAUAUUUUUUUGAAUUUCUUACAUUUUAGAAUUCAAAUUUUAUAUAGUUCAAUCAAACUCGGAUGAAGAAAUGACCAAAAUAAAAUUGGUAGAUCUCACUGAGUUCUACAACUUUGCUUUUGACAACUUUUUCAUAUGAGUUCAUUUAGUGUCAUAAAAUUCAAUUCGAAUUUAUUUUUUCCAAGAAGUCUGAUUUGCCUCCUCUUUGGGUUGGGCCGGCUUAUGGGCCUUAUGUGUAAGUCGGAUAUCCGAUGGAAAAUACCGGAUAAUAUCCGAUUCCGACGGAUAUCACCUAUAUCAUAUUCGUUUUCACAUCCGAAAAAAAAUAUCCGAAUUCGUUUCCGAAUUCGAAAAUUUCCGGAUAUAUCCGACCGAAACUAUCCGAAUCCGAAAAAAGAUCCGGUCGGACGGAAAUUAUCCGAAUCACUUUCAACCCUACUAAUAGGAGUUUCAGAUGAAUAUUCAAGGCAGAGGAAGAAACCCCGUUAACCUAAUAAAAAUCAUCAAGGUUCAAUCCAAUUAAUUCAUUGCUCUGCCGGUGGUUCGCCGCACCAUCGUUUCCUUGUUGUUUUUGGCUUCGCCCUGUGUUCACGGGUCGAGUCCUGUCUUAUUCCAAUUCCGUCGCCGUUUUCCUUUCCUUUCCUAAAAUGGCACCGCCUCCUUGUCCUCUCCCUCUACCGCCUCUCCUCCCCCUGCCGCCACCCCAGCCGCGCGCUGCGCCCCACCAAAUCCUACCACCACCCUAGCUGCCCCUCUCCACCUCUCCCAUGCCGUGCCGCCGUCUCCCCGCCACCGGAUCGCUGCAGCCAUCAUCGUCUCCCGUGAGCCCUCUCCUUCCCCUUAUCCCUCGCCGAUAUGGUUCACCGUCGAGUUACCUCAUCUAAUCUAAAAUAUCCAUGUUUCCCUAGUUGUCGUCAUCGCCGUCCGUGUGUUCCCGCCGGAUCGCCGCCAUCGUCGCUCCUCCACCGGUCGCCGUUGUUUCCAGGUGAGGUAUCCUUUUGUUUCACCUCUUUGUUUUGUGUGUCGCCGUCACGGUACCGCCAUUGCCGGCGCUUGCCGAGCCACCGCGCCACUGCGGCCGCCUUGCUGCGCCGCUGCCCUAGCGUCGCCUCCGCCGCCGCUGCCUUGCCGCGCCUGCCGUGUCGCGCCGCCUGACCGCGCCGUGCCACCACUGCCCUAGCCGCAGCCGGCCGCAGCCCUUGCCGCCUGCCGCGUCCGCUGUCGCUGCCGACCAUCUUGCCGUCGCGUGCCGGCCCAUAUCGGCGAGGCGGCCUUGCCUCGCCGUGCCACGUCUUGCCGCAUGCCAUGUAGUGUAUUGCUGUGUCAUCCCAGUUCGGUCAAGCCGAGUCGGUAAAACCCUAGAGUCCUUCGGUUGGUUCCGUGACCCACCCAAGCCGCCGGUUUUGUUCACUGGUUCGGUGGAUCGUUUGUGUGGUCCUGUGCCACGGUAGGUCGAUUCGUUGAGUCGUUGCUCCGUGGGGCUCAUCUACCGGGGUUCUAUUCCGUUAAUCUUGUCUGCACUCGGGCAUUAAUGUUUAAUAAUGGAAUAAGGUUACCGGUUAAUAGUAAUUACACAGUGCAUAUUGUAAAAUUCAUAUCUAAAUCAUUCGUGCUCCGUUUUAAUCCAUUCAAGUCUCAGUAAAUUCAUAAAAAUGUCUAGAAUCCAUUAAAAUGGUUCCUUUUGUUGUUUCAGUUGAUUUAUAGCAUGUUUGCUUGUGUGCCUUGUUUGUCGUAUAGAAUCCAACUGUUCUGACGCUCCCGUUUACUUCAGAGUGGUCACCGAAGUCCCGUCAGCUGAGGAGCAAAGCAAGUCAUACAUACAACAUUGAUCAUACUGAACCCUCUUUAUAAAAUCCCUUGCUUUCUAUUAAACUGCAUUGUUUUUAUAAUGUCGUGUGGGAUGGAUGCCUAUUGUACUCAGCCUAUUGUUGCCUUAUGCCUUGAUAACCUGGGUAAUGAAUUGAUUAGAUGAUUGGUUUAGGUGAUGCUUAGCCAUGCUUAGAUCAAUUAGCACACUAUGGGUUUCAUCUUAAUUUAGUCCUUAAUUUAAUGAUAUUGUACCAUCAUGGUAUUAAUUUAAUUAAACUAAAAUAUGCUUAAAUGGUGGGUCGUGGGUGCAUGGUUUUGCUAGUCACACCCAUGACAAUUAAGGACCGGUUCUCGGGAAACCCUGGAAGAAUUACCCGUACUUACCACAGGCCAGCGUGGGCUCCAGGCUGAAUUUGGAGCAUAGCUUAACCUAGCCAAUGUACCAAGGCAAGGGUGGGCGUGAUGGAGUAGGACGGAUCGUGCUACGGUCUUUGUUGCUUCCAGAUUCACCUAGGCACAAGAGGGGACUGUCCGCUGCCUAUUGAGGAGUGGGGGGUGAAACUUGAGGUGCGUACGAUUGGUUAGCGAGAGUUAUGUGAAGGGUUCUAUCAUAGUCUCUUUUCGAGAUACCGUGGUGGUAUUGAGGCGCAUGGUAACAUGUUGUGAGGCUGUGUCUUGUGGGUAAAGUUGCACACCUCUGAUCAGAGUAAAACUAUUCGAAUAGCCGCACCCGUGGUUAUGGACUGUCAACCAGAUUCACCGUGAUUAGUCUCAUCUUAAUAAAUGGAUGUGUUGAACUGAUUUAGUUCAGGUGGUUUGGUUGGGCCUGUUUCAACGUGGUUAAACGUUGGGCUGUGAUGUUAACAUUGAUUAAGCUAUAUCUACUUUUUACUAUGUUCAACUGGUGAUUUUAAAAUGCUUGCUUUUAUGCAAAUAUCCUAUAGCCUUUCCUUUGCUUUUACCUUGCAUCAUGCCUUCCUAUUGGUAUGACUUAUUGAGUACGGUGGGUGGUACUCAGUCUUGCUUUAUUUUUCCCCCAACCCUCAGAAGCAGAGAAUUAUUCAGAUCGAGAUUAUUUUGAGGAUUAGGCUUAUUCCGGAUAUUGAGGAUGCCUGUGGUUAUGGAGGAUGCUACGCUAUCAAGAAGAUCUUAGUUUAGAUUAUUCGAUAAUUUAUUUCCGCUGUAUAUGUAAGAAUCAUUUAUUAUUUUUUGUAAGACGUGGAUCUGUGUAUCAAUUUAUCGUUUGUGUACUCAGGCUGGUCUUGGACAAAGAAUUUAACACACAUUCUGCUUGAGAUUCGGGUUAGCGAAUUUCUAGGCGUGAUAGGGUUUCAGCCAACGAGUUAUCUGAAUGUUACGUCGGCUUACAAGGAUUAUAUACAAGUUGGUUUUAGCCGAUUGCAAUAAUGGUUUCACUGAUUAUCUAAUCAUGUGGAUUUAAUGACAUCGGAACACCAACCAACCGAUAUAUGCUUAACCUUCGGAUCAAGCAAUUAUUCUAUCAUAUCAUUAUUGAUUGAUUGGUUUUUAUUGGAUUAUAUUAUUAUUUUAUAACAUUAUCAUCAACCAAUUGUCUUUUUAUCAUUAUUUACUUAAGUGUUAGAAUCUACAUUGGAUAUAUAGCUGAUUGCUCAAAACUCUAUCGACAUCAGCUAGCAUUGCUAUAUCAGCUUAUUGCCUGAUCGGCUCUUAUUUGUACAUAUUGUCAGUUGCAGAAUCAGAUUGACCCGCACGUCCACAUCUCAUCAAUAUUUUGGACCUGCACUGGAGUAAGCAGAUCAACCAGGCCGUUGUGUUCGUCGACUUAGUCCGUGCCAACACAAAUCUGGUACCAUCGGCCGAGCACGGAUUUUGCGUCAAUAGUUUUUGAAGAUUUGGGGUACAGCAAUAAAGUGUGUGUUCUACUAAAUUCAACCAAGUUGAGUUUUCCAUUUUUAGACCUAGUAUCAAUUUCAUCAACGAUCAAUGAGCAGUACGGGGCCUAAACUCGUCACAAAUGUCAAGGAUACAUCAUUGCUAUAGAUAUUUCCAGUGUAAAACGUUAUCGGUCAAAAAUGAUAGUGGAAGUCUUGUACUUCCCGAUUUCGUACGAAUUUGAGGCAAACAUAUGUGUUGACUAAUAUAAUGGAAUGGACUUCCAUUGUCGAGGAAGUUACCACGUAAAUUUGUUCUUGCUUUUCUACACUUUUUUUUUUGAACAUUCUUUUCUACACUUGAAGUUUCGACUAUUUCAUACCUGUGGACAAUGACAAUUUCCCACGGUAGACAUAUUUGAUGACAUAAUCCAAAGUAACUAUAUAAGCUAGUGAUCUGCCAAAGAAAAUACUCACUCCGUCCUAAAAUAUAAGUAUUUUUUAGACUUCGAGAUGCUACUUUGACCAAUAAAGUUAAGAUGUUUUAAAUAAAAAGAGUUGCAUAUUAUGAUAAUUUGUUUAAUAAUAAAUCUAAUAACACCAAUUUUACUUGAUUGAUAUUUUUCAUUUAUUUUACUAUUAUAGUUAAAAUUAGAAUGUUUGACUUGACAAUAUUAUAAAAAUGCUUAUAUUUUGGGACAUAUGGAGUAAUAAAUACGUUUAAAAAAAUCCAUCAUGUUCCUCCAAUUAGUUUAAUAAAGCAUUGAUAUUCCUUUUUUAUCUAAUGCACAAAUUGUGUAAGAGGUUUGAUAGCACUGUUUACUUUGUGGAUUACCAGGUGAAAUUGGAAAAAGUUCAUGCUUUUCAAGUGAACCAUCAGAUUACAUCGCGUCGCAAAAUAUCGUCAGACAGCUGUUGGAAAAAGUCUACGUAAGGAGGCAACUGUCGGUAUAACUAAUAAGGUAGUAUUACUUAUUUUGCUGAAAAUUAAGGUCUGAAAGUUUGCAUAGUCAACCUCUUCCAUCUUAAUUCAACAAGAUCUCCGUAACUAAGUCCGUACACACAAACUAGUCAUGUUCAACAGGAAUGCAUUGACUAUUCGACCAAGAAUAUGGCACCAUCCAACAAUCAACAUGGGUAAAAGAUGUAUAAACGCCUAUUAAUAUAAAUGUCCUAGUCCACUAUAAGAAUCAAAAGCAUCUAAAAACUGAAACCAUAUUGUCCAAAAUACACACCAGCAAAGAUGGUAUGUGCAGCUAUACACAUUGCAGUCGUAGCAAUGCUCGUCUCCCUUACAGCAUUAGCAAUAGCUGACGAAUCCGACAAUAACCAACGGGAAGCUCUGCUCUGCAUCAAAUCACACCUCUCAAGCCCAGAGGGAGGCGCCCUCACCACAUGGAACAAUACCUCGCUCGACAUGUGCACCUGGCGCGGCGUGACAUGCUCCAGCGAGCUCCCAAAGCCUCGUUUGGUCGUGGCCUUGGACAUGGAGGCACAGGGCCUCAGCGGAGAAAUCCCACCCUGCAUCUCCAACCUCUCGUCCCUCACGAGAAUCCACCUCCCCAACAAUGGCCUCUCCGGUGGCCUCGCAUCCGCAGCCGAUGUUGCCGGGCUCCGAUACCUCAACCUCAGCUUCAACGCGAUCGGCGGUGCGAUCCCAAAACGCCUUGGUACGCUUCGCAACCUUUCGUCCCUGGACUUAACAAACAACAACAUUCAUGGCGAGAUCCCGCCGUUGCUUGGGAGCUCAUCUGCCUUGGAAUCCGUCGGUCUCGCCGACAACUACCUGACCGGAGGAAUCCCAUUGUUCUUGGCUAAUGCGUCCUCGCUCCGCUAUCUUUCCUUGAAGAACAAUAGCCUCUAUGGGAGCAUCCCUGCAGCACUUUUCAACAGCUCAACCAUCAGGGAAAUAUACCUUGGAGAAAACAAUCUUUCUGGUGCAAUUCCACCCGUAACAAUAUUCCCUUCCCAGAUCACCAACCUUGAUCUUACAACGAAUAGCCUGACAGGAGGCAUACCACCAUCUCUAGGGAAUCUCUCAUCGCUUACAGCACUCUUAGCUGCAGAAAACCAGUUGCAGGGAAGUAUACCGGAUUUUAGUAAACUAUCGGCGCUACGGUAUCUUGACCUCUCUUACAACAAUCUUUCUGGAACUGUAAAUCCCUCCGUUUACAACAUGUCGUCAAUCACAUUUCUCGGUUUGGCCAACAACAAUCUUGAGGGGAUAAUGCCUCCUGGUAUAGGAAACACUCUUCCUAACAUCCAAGUUCUGAUUAUGUCUGACAAUCAUUUUCAUGGAGAAAUCCCUAAAUCUCUAGCAAAUGCUUCCAACAUGCAGUUCCUGUAUCUGGCCAACAACUCUUUGAGAGGGGUGAUUCCUUCUUUCGGCUUGAUGACAGAUUUGCGGGUCGUCAUGCUGUACUCAAACCAGUUAGAAGCUGGAGACUGGGCAUUCCUGUCAUCCUUGAAGAAUUGCUCCAAUUUGCAGAAACUGCACUUUGGCGAAAACAACCUACGCGGGGACAUGCCCAGCUCUGUAGCCGAAUUGCCGAAAACAUUAACUUCACUAGCUCUUCCGUCAAACUACAUAUCUGGCACCAUUCCUUUGGAGAUUGGAAACCUAUCUAGCAUAUCCCUACUUUAUCUUGGUAACAAUCUAUUGACAGGGAGCAUACCUCAUACUCUUGGCCAACUAAACAAUCUUGUUGUCCUUAGCCUUUCACAAAACAUAUUCUCUGGAGAAAUACCACAAUCCAUUGGUAACUUGAAUCGAUUGACUGAACUCUAUUUAGCAGAAAAUCAACUGACUGGAAGAAUACCUGCAACUUUAUCGAGGUGCCAACAAUUGUUGGCAUUGAACCUUUCAUGUAAUGCCCUUACUGGAAGCAUAAGCGGAGACAUGUUUAUCAAGCUAAAUCAAUUGAGCUGGCUACUCGAUUUAUCACACAACCAAUUCAUAAACUCCAUACCACUAGAACUUGGUAGCUUGAUAAAUCUUGCUUCUUUGAACAUUUCCCACAACAAACUCACAGGCAGGAUCCCAUCUACACUUGGUUCUUGCGUCCGGUUGGAAUCGCUUCGUGUAGGAGGCAACUUCCUAGAGGGAAGUAUUCCACAAUCAUUAGCAAAUCUCAGGGGCACCAAAGUGCUGGAUUUCUCCCAGAACAAUUUAUCUGGUGCAAUACCGGAUUUCUUUGGGACUUUCACCUCAUUACAAUAUCUAAAUAUGUCAUACAACAACUUUGAGGGGCCAAUUCCAGUAGAUGGAAUCUUUGCGGACAGAAAUAAGGUGUUUGUCCAAGGAAAUCCACACCUUUGCACCAAUGUUCCAAUGGAUGAGUUGACUGUCUGCUCUGCUUCAGCAUCCAAAAGAAAGAAUAAGCUCAUUAUUCCAAUGUUGGCAGCUUUUUCAUCUAUAAUCUUACUUUCUUCAAUCCUCGGAUUAUAUUUCUUGAUCGUCAAUGUUUUCCUGAAAAGGAAGUGGAAAUCCAAUGAGCACAUGGAUCACACCUACAUGGAACUGAAAACGUUAACAUAUAGUGAUGUAAGCAAAGCAACAAAUAAUUUUUCAGCAGCCAACAUAGUUGGCUCUGGGCAUUUUGGGACAGUCUAUAGAGGUAUACUGCAUACAGAAGACACUAUGGUCGCUGUUAAGGUGUUCAAGCUCGAUCAAUGUGGUGCAUUGGACAGCUUUAUGGCAGAGUGCAAAGCACUGAAGAACAUCCGUCACCGAAAUCUUGUCAAGGUUAUAACUGCAUGCUCAACUUAUGAUCCGAUGGGCAGUGAGUUCAAGGCUCUAGUAUUUGAAUAUAUGGCUAAUGGUAGCCUUGAGAGCCGGCUUCACACAAAGUUUGAUCGAUGUGGUGAUUUGAGUUUGGGAGAAAGGAUUAGCAUAGCAUUUGAUAUUGCUUCUGCUCUAGAGUACCUUCACAACCAAUGCAUUCCACCUGUUGUUCACUGCGAUUUGAAGCCAAGCAAUGUACUUUUCAACAAUGAUGAUGUUGCAUGCGUCUGCGACUUUGGUCUGGCAAGGUCAAUUCGUGUUUAUUCAUCUGGAACUCAAAGCAUAUCAACAAGUAUGGCUGGGCCAAGGGGGUCUAUUGGGUACAUUGCUCCUGGUGAGUAGGUUUUCUGAGCAUACUGCAGAGUAUCAUACAAUAUAAAGAAAUUACUAUUAUAUCUCUUAUGAUUAUAAUUUGGUACUCCUAUGUUUUGCUGGUUAUCUGAACCUUUUUGUUUUCGAACAAAGCAGAGUAUUAUUUAAUAGAAGGAAUAAGUAUUUUAUGAUUAACACUAUGGUUCAUUUUACUGGUGAUCUGAACUUUUUGGUUUCAAAACAUUGCAGAGUAUGGCAUGGGCAGUCAAAUCUCAACUGAGGGUGAUGUCUAUAGUUAUGGCAUUAUUCUUCUGGAAAUGCUAACAGGAAGACACCCUACCAAUGAAAUAUUUACUGAUGGCUUGACACUCCGCAUGUAUGUCAAUGCAUCACUUUCACAAAUCAAAGACAUACUUGACCCCAGGCUUAUUCCAGAAAUGACAGAGCAACCUUCUAAUCAUACCCUGCAAUUGCAUGAACACAAGAAGACAGGUAUAAUGGACAUCUGUGCUCUACAACUCCUUAAACUCGGUCUGCAAUGCUCUGAAGAGUCGCCAAAAGAUCGGCCAUUUAUACAUGAUAUAUAUAGUGAAGUAACGUCAAUAAAAGAAGCAUUUUUUGCAACGAGCAUUUGACACAAUAAAAGAGGAACACCAAAGAAUGAAGCACUGCCAAAUUUAUCUUCCAAAGUUUCUUUACUACUGCAGUAAGCUACAUAUGUUUUUACCGCUACAACAGGAUACAUUUGCACACUGUUAUUUACCGAUGCAUUUCAAGCAGCAAUUUCUAUCAUGUAAUAAAAAUUCUUGUACAGUUCAAUGAUUUGUUGCCGAGAUGCAGCUUGAUCUGUUUUUGAAGUACUGUUACUAGUAAAGCCUUCACGCCGCGGGAAUAAAGAAAAAUAUAUAAAUAGUAUAGCAUAUUCUAUCUUAAUUUCCCAUGAUUUUGGGGUAAAAUUCGGGCAUAAACUGAAGGCUGAGCAUGUAUAUGAAAUCGGAUUUGAGAGGAAAUCAUGUUUACUACUCAAACGUACACCUGAAUUUGUUUUAUACAUUGAUUUUCAGUUCCAUCUCGAUGCAAACUGGGAGGGGUGGAGGGUAUUCUCACAUGUACGAUAAGAGAAAUUGCAUCAAAAUUAGGAGGGCUUAGAUUAUCUAUGCUAACGUGAUGGAUAAAACAAAUUUCUUUAAAAUAGCAUUGUAAUUACAGAGAUAUAUCGACUAAAACAGAAGAUCGGAUCUAGCUAAGACAGUCCCAACUAAACCAAUGCUUCCCUGAACACGAUGAAGUUAAAGAUAGAAUUAAAAUAUCCAGUAAGCAAAUAUACCAAUCUAACUAGAGCAAUCCAAGAGAUCCAAACGAUGCGGUCUUGAAGAAUGCCAAUAAAGCCGAUACAAUUGCCAAGGCCUACGGAACUUAGGGCAUACCCCUUCGCCGGAGAUCGAAGCAAUGCAGCCCCAUGUUAGAUGCCAAGUUCCGCCAGUGAUAAAAACUAGGAAAAGAGGGUGGCGAUGCAUCGAAAGUUGUAUUGAUCGAGAGAUAAUUUACAAUGACCCCGGGUGUACAUAUUUAUACCCAUGGAUAGAUAUAGUCCUUAUUAGACACGACAAAGAGUUUCCUAAAGAUAAAGUAAAAAAAAUACAAACCCUGAUCGGACUCUAAACAAUCUUUCCCAAAAAUAAAAAGAAAACUAAGUGACUCUACCUAAUUAAUAGAUAAAUUAUCAUGUCACAUCCUUCGUGAACUCGAUCUCUUCUAGAGAGUAAGAUGACUAAUCUAAUUCACCGAUUAGAACCUGUCGAGAACAGCCCGACAAGAUCUAUUCGGCGACUAGGGUAUUGGCUUCCUUUGAAUUGUAUUUUGAUGUGGCUUUAGCUAUGGCUUGUAACUUGAUGCCCCUCCCUCUAGCUCCCUCCAGGAGGGGGCCUUAUUUAUAGUGAUGAUCAACUUCUUCUCCUAGUGAAACUCGGAGAACUAGAACAUAAUAUGGGCCAAGGAGACCUUAUCUUCCCCGACUAGGACUCUGACACCUUCUAUUCUGGGAAGAUAAAUUCCUUCUAGAUACCUACACUUUCUUAAUCAAAGGAUACCUUCUCGUGUAACAUUAGAUAUAUGAUAUUUCCGUAUAGCGUAAACCUAUCUAUAGGAGGUGUGCCUUAUCCUUAACACUGACAAAAUGCUUUUUGAUAUCAUCUGUCCAGGUGGUGUUGCCUGUGAAUGAGCAACUAGGCUUCUAGUGAGUUUUAGCUAGUGAAUGAUGACCAAUUAAGGGAUUAAUACACUUAUUGAGUGUAUAAACAAGGGAUUAGUAUGAUCAAUAAGAUAAUGAUGAGAUGAUGAAGAAGUAGGAAUACAAUAUGGUUUCAUUGUGAUGGAAGGGUAUAAGUGACUGAAGAUGACAAGAUGCGGUAAAGGGUUGAUAAGACUUGCUGCCUACAUGAUGGGCCAUGCAGGAGAGAAGGGAAAGCGGAGGCUUGGCGCCAAAGGACUCGAUACAAUGGUGAAGGGCUUGGGGCAACAUCGACGGUCUGGUCGAGUCCAUAAAAAGUCACAAGUUAAUAAGGAUCAAUCUUUAUUAAGAAGAAGCGUAUAAUUGUAUAAGGCAAGGCUUGGAAAGAAGAAGAAGAAGAUUUCCAAGGAGAUACACUGGGCUGGGCAAUCUUGGAGCAGUAAGAUUGUCAAGGAAAGCUACAAGAGCUGGACAAUCCGAGAGGGGUCGGAUUGUCCAGGAAGGGCCAUGUCUAAUUACUUUCAGAGAUUUACAUGACUUAGCUGACAGAUCCAUGACUCAGUCACAGACGCAAUUUGGCCUCGUAAAGUUCCUCUUCGUACCCAAAAUUCAAUUGGCAACAUCCUUACAUGCAUAUUUACAAAUCCAUUUGAAUGCACAUUGUUAGAUCAUCGUCAAUUAACCACUACUCAAUGUAGACAGCAAAAACUGGGAGGCAAUUCCUACAGGCUACUGCAACUUCUUCCUGACUAGUGCUAGCAGGAAACUCACCUGCCUGUCAAACAUGGGUGCUGCUGUUCAUCUUCUCCGUUGUUUUUGUAGCUUCUAAGGAACAAGCUGCCAGGCCAGCUGCAUCACAUUGUCAUCGAUGUAUGGCCGCAAAUCCCACAUUUGACAGUAGCCCUCUAUCUCCGACGAUGAUGUUUUAACCCAAAAUGCCUUUACAAUCUUUUCCUGCAGUGUACUCUAGCUUCUGUGAGAAGAAAAGGUAAGCAAUCAAAUGAAACUCACUUACAUGCAGAUCCUUGUGUUGCUAACCUGCAUCAUGUAAUCCAUUUUUAACAUAUUGUGAACCAGGACAAUCACACUUGCAAAAGACACUGCUCCGUCCAGCCAAUCUUCAGGCUGUUGUUCAUCCUGGUACAAGAAAUCUCCCAGUGAGCCUAAUCAGCCAUACUAUUUUGGCACCAACGAAAACCAGAACUAAUGAGAGUCUAAUAAGUAAUAACACCAACAAGAAUGCGCACCUCAGAACAAACAUUUGUAAGAUUAUCAUGAUCAGGGCAAUCAUCCGUAUUUCUUGAAGAACUCAGACUGGCUGUUAGUGCAGCACUGUAAACAUCUUCCUCCAGAAACUGGAGCUCUUCCAGCAAUAAUUUGGCUGAGGAGAAAAAUAUAAACUGAAGAUGUAUUCAUAGAAAACUAAGACAGAUUAUUAUUUAGGUUUAGUAUUUACAAUAUUUUGAACACGUGCAUGAGAAAAGUGAAAAUGGCAUGGAACUGAGAUAAAAUGCAAACCCUUGUAUGGUUUGUUCAUGCUCCAUGAUGCUUGGAAGAAUAAAAAUAGAGAGGAGAUCAUGGAAAAACUGGGAAAGGCCACACUAGAAAUAAAAUGUUGUGCCAAAGACUACUUCUGUCCCAAAAGGAGUUCACUUCUGUCCAGAUUCGUGUAGAAAAAUGAACUCUUUUUGGGACAAAAGUAGUAAUUAAUUUCUCCGUAUCAAUAGUUCUAUUACAAAUAGCACAAAUUAGAAAACACACAAAAAUCUUUCUGAAAAUAUGGAAUAACAAAGUAAAAUGUUACUAUUAUGGUAUGACUGAGAAAGAGGAGACUACCUUUAUUUAUAUGGUCAUUAAGUUUCUCCUGAUAAGCAUGUACUGCAACAAAAAACUGUACUGUCAAAUAGACAUAGUUGAAAAAGAAUAAUGAGUUGUGAUAAAAAUCAUGAAUUGAAAACAAAAUAUGUAAUUAAAGAAAGUGUUAAUCAUCGAAGCAAAGAAGACACCCCACUCUAGAAACUGCUGUGCAUUAAAAUUAUUGUUACAACAAACAAAAGGAUAAUUAAUGACCUAGUUCACAGUAUAUUUACUUUUCUUUUUAGUUUUUGGCUAAUUAGAAACACUGCAGGUAUAUAUCAUAUAAAAACAUUCAAGGCUUCAAACUAAUAAACAAGUUUUUUUAAUUAAAGGAAGAAAAUGUUGUGUUUUGAUUUUUUUUUAUUUCUCCUAUAAAAAAUUAAGAGGUGCAUUCCACAAUUACAAAGUUCAACUAACUAGAAUUGCAGUAAAAUAGUACCAAUCAAGGUAUUCAUAUCAGCCAUUCAUUGGUAUUGGCAAGAAAACAUGAUAUACAAGGAAAUGACUGGCUUGAUGUUUGAACAGUUUCAAUCUAUAGGCACAGUUCAUGAUUCCAUAUAAUAAGAAUAAGUUGAAUACUCCAUAAGACAGGCAAGACCCACUUCAGUUAGAAAAAGAGGGCGAUGAGUGAAAUUGCAAAACAAAAAGGAAUGAAAUAAAAAAGUGUGAGAUAAGUUUUGCACUCUUCAUGCUAACAAUAUAACUUGGUAAUUUUAUUAGUGAGGUCUGAAAAUAAAAUAUGUAGGGAGUUGCAUCGUUACAGGGUACUGUACAAAGAAAUGGUCACGAUGGUUAAUCUGACUACCACUAUAUGAGGAAAUGAGAAAUUAAUUUGAAUGGAAAGCAAUAUUGCACAAAGUUUUUAAUAAUUAGUCAUAAAAAAUCUGUUUUCAAUAUAGACGAAGAAACAAGAAAUUAAUUUGAAUGGGAAGGAAUAUUUCACAAAGCCUUUAAUAAUUAGUAACAAAAAGCUGUUUUCUAAUAUAGACAGAACACCUACAGGUAGCAAUAGGAGAUGUGAUGAUUGGGCACAGAAAAAUGAUCUAUGACUUACACCGGUUCAUGUUCUGGAUGAUUUCAUUGUGAUGGGUGCAGCCAGCUUCAAGAUAAGACCUCAUUCUGUCACUGUAGUUAGACUUAACUAUCUCAAUUAUGGCACUUGACUCUGUGAGGAGCUUUGGUCUCCAAAAAUGUUCUGAAAUAAGUGGAUGCAUUCAAGUUGACUGUAAGCACAAAACUUAUCAGUGAGCACAGCCAUAUUUAUCAUCAUUGUUCGGAAAGAUUAGUUUAUAGACCAAAUUUAUGUUCUCCACAUUGAGAUUCCACAUGGAAUCGAUGUAAUAACGUGAGUAUGCUAAUAAGUAGAAUAAACAUGAAGCAGGAAUCCAUGGGCAGGAUUGAGAUUUGAAGAGUAAUCAUUUGCCAGAAAAUGAUAAUUUCAGUACACAAUUGCAUGGCAUACAAGUUUACAACAGAAAUUUACUCUGUUAAAUACAACAUCCGCGGUCCAACAAAUAGCAGCACAGCUAGGUAGAACUGAAAUAAAAUACGAGAUUACACCAAUAAAUGUUGAAAUAAAAUAAUGUAGCAAAAUAAAUAUAGUUUACUUCAAAUUUACCAAAGCAAGAAAGCUAGUAUAAAACUUGGCCCAUCUAAGACAGGCUUAUUAUGGGAAUUUUUACAUUUUUCUUAUCUUCAUCGUAAAACUGAAAGCCCUGGCUUAUUCUAGGACCUGAAGUUUCAACAGAUCAGGACCUAGCCCUAAACUAUCAAUAGUGGUCAGGAACAUGGGGAAUCAAUAGGGUAUAAGUAAUUAUGCUAUAGAAUUUUAGAAGACUUGGACAUGAAUCAUACGAUGGACAAUCAGGUGAAACCUUCAAAAAUUUAGAUCCAAAAAAUAGAGAAGAGAAAAUUACGCUGGCUAACAUAUUUUUUUUCAGGGAAAAAGAAAUGAACUCACCUACCUCUUGAUGAAACUUGAGAAGAACCUUUUUACCUGCAUCAACUAGCUCGUCAUACCGUGCAACCCUAAAAGCAGCAACAAAUUCGCCCGUGUAUUUUCCAUAAAUUAGACAGCCACAAGAAAUAAACAACUUAAUGAAGGUGUCUGCCAGUGUAAGAAAACGAACGAACAUAACCAUAAAACAAUACCUCCUAGACUCUUAUAAAAUUAGUACGCAUUAAUUCACACCAUAAAUUGGAAAAUAUUCACCCAGGAAAAUUAUUCAAAGAAAACCCUAGGUUUGCAUAAGAAUUGGAACCCUAGGUUUUCAUAUAAGAAUUAAAUAUGUGCAAGCAAAGAUUUGCAAAAGUUAUUAAUUCAGUUGUUUUCACUGCUACUGAUAUUAGUUUCAACACCACACAACACAUCAGAUCUACUGCAAAAGUUAUAUCAGGACCUCAAUGGUUGGAAAAGUGCAGGAUCGAAAUUAUUACUUGGUCAUGAAAUCCAAGAAGAUGCGAUGAACUUUGUCCUCCACACAUGCAUCAGGCGAUGCCAUUCCCGACUCGCUGCUUCCUUGGCCACGACAAGAGCCCCUGAAAAUUCAGCACAAAACCCAAAUGCAUAUAACAGCUCAGCACUCCACCACGAAGUAAACAAAUCAGCAGCAGACAGGUUCGAGUCUCCAUUCCAGAAAGAAAGAGCAUAUAGAGAUGUGGAUUGGAUUGCUCAUGGCAGUCUGAGCAAACUGUUAUUAGUACUAAUAAGAUUAAACCUGCAAAGAGAAAAUGCUUCCAGAUCUAGAGGAGGAGUUGAAUGGCGUGAACGGGGGAUGCGCGGACAGGUAUGGGUGCUCACCGGUGGCGGCAACGCUGGUCGCGGGCGGGAUGGAGGAAGGCGACGGCGACGGCGGCGCGGCGAGGGAACACGGGACGCGAGGAAAAGGGAGGGCUACACUGGUCAGUUAGGGUGGGCCGUAAGCGUUAUGGGCCUUACACAGCCUGGCUCGGCUGAAACAAACACAGUUUAUGAGAUUUUCUUAGGAAAAAAAAAUCCAAAUACUUCCGUAAACUUUGAUUGAAAAUCAAUGUAAUACCUCGAACUUUCAAACUGAACAUGCAACCACUAAAUUUUACAAUACUAUUUUGUAACAUCCUCAAAUUUUAAACUAAAAUUUGAAUGCAUCAUGCUGGCUUUUGAUUAAAUUUGUUUGGUUUAAAAAUCUAUUUGAUUUUUAUUUAAAAUUUGGUUCAAGUAUUAGAACCCUUUCAAUCUACUCUAAUUAUCCCCUUUAUUCCAAACCUUAGUAAAUUUAAGCAAAUUCUCUCAAAUUUCAAAGCAUAGGUUAUUUUCUUAAUUUACCCUAAUAUUAGUGGAGAUUUGCUAUACUUCAAACCUUAGUGAAAACCUUCCAAAAUUAUAGUUUAAAUUCAAAUCUUUCUAGGGAAAAUAUUCAAAAUUUCUGAAUUCUACUGUUCAUUGCACAUAAGGUGUUCGGUAGAAUGUCUAACCCAACUAGAGCAGCCCAACUCCAUCCAAUCUUGAACAAAGUUUAGAUUUGGUCCUAGGGGACCACAUCCCACUGAAAAACCGUGGCUUUCUUUGCCUCUUCCUCCCCUUGCGCGCGCCGCACUGGCAUCCGAUUUUGCCGUGCGCCGUGUCGCCGCGCGUCGGCUUUGAGGCCGCCCGCGCGUGCCCGACCGCCUUGGCGCGCCGUCGCCCAUCCGAUGCCCUCAACCCACCGUCGCCGCACCAAUCUUGACGACGACAAAGCUAGGACGACGACCGCCGCACGAAAUUGCUGCUCGACGCCGUGCGCUCCCGUCCAAGCUGUCGCUGAGUGCGAAUUCGCUUGUACCCAGGGUGAAUCGCGCCAAUUCUUGCUGCACGGUUGGAUUGGAGAUAGACGGUGGUAUUCCCUCUCACAAUUCAAACCAUUCACCCCCGAGCCGGCCGUUUUCACCCUCACCGCCGCCGCGCGUCGCGCCCGGAUUGGCGCCAACACGUCGCCAGCCGAUUCCAACAGCGGUCAAGUCAAUCCUUCGCCGGUAAGUAUUCAAACGUGACCUCCCGCCACUCAAAUUGAUCUUGGCCGCCCUCUCACAGCCUCUGCCGCCCUAGCCAUAUCCAAAGCUCGAGCUCAUCCAUGGCGAUGACGGUGUCCGAGCUCAUCCGCUCCUCCUAGCCCUAUAAAUAGGACCCCAAUCCCUUCCCUGUCCAUCAUCGAUCAUCAACAACCAUAGCCCCACAACCCCGAAGCUCUGCUUCACCAAUCCAUUCCAUCAACCACCAUCGCCCGUCGGUCGAACACCUUGUGCGCGAUCGACUCCACACCCCUUCAUCCAUCCUCCGCGCUAAUUACCCCUUAGAACACCUAUAACCUACCAUGUUCUAGCAUACUAAGCCCUAAUCGAAGCAUCGCGCCGAGUUUUACCACACUGCACCAAGCCGAGCACCGCCGCCCCCGCGCUGCUAUGUUCUUCGCCGCCGCGAAGUUUUUCCGGCCGUAAUCCAUCGUUUCAACCAAUCUCGGUGAGUUCUUCCGUUUUAACCAUCUACAUACUACCUAGAGUCCAUUUUUGCAAUCGGUUUGCACUAUCAUGCCACCCUCUGAGCUGCCGACGUGAGCACGGCUGCCGCCUAUAGAGGCGCUCGUCGGCGACUAUACUCCGCGCCUUGCCAAAGGUCGGCAAGCUGCCGGAAUCCCUCUAGACACCUCAUAGAUGCUCUAGAACCCCUCCCCUAGCCAUGCCUAACUCUUAUCACCUUGAUCGCCAUCUCGGCCUAACUGUGCCACCGCCACCCUAGAUCCCUAGCUCCCUCCCCUCCCCGGCCGCAACCACUUUCUCCCUCUAGCGCCGCCGCAAUCGCCAACCCUAGCGCCGCCGGCCGCUUUUGGGGAAACGGCUGGAGGUUGAAGAAGAGAAGAGAGAGAGAGACUGACAGGUGGGACCCACACAUAGUGCCAUUUCACAUUUAUUUGAUUUUCAAACUUUAGAAGCCCAUAUCUUUUAAAAUAUAGAUCCAAUUUCAGUGAAACUUGGACCAAUAUUCUUCAAAAAUCAUUCUCUAUCUAUUGAGCCCCUUUUUUAUAUUUUUGAAUUUUAUUUUAUUUUCUCUAUUUUUCUUAUUUUUGGAUUUUAUGUGAAUUCCUUUUGAAUUUGAAUUUUAUAUGUCUAACCCUAGGUCUUGAGGAUUCCUCUGACACACUAGAUAAUAUCAAUCAAUCUCAGGACAUCGAGCAAGGCAAGUUACCAUAUACCUGUUGAUCAUUUAAGCCUAUAUUUUACAAAUUAUUUAUUUAUAGCCUUCUAUUCAAUAUUCUAUUUUCUAUGCAUAAAUCAAUCAUAGAAACUCAGAUAAUUUAGUAUUGCUUAUUUUGCUUACAAUCUGGUUAAAAUACCCUAUACUUAGAUUGGGACAAUACGUAAGAUUUGGAUGAUUUCCGGGUGGCUAGUAUUGUCUCGAUCGAUAUAAGUUUCGCCAGGUACUUAUGUUGAACGAACGGGUACGACCGCAGUUUCUAGAAUGGGGACAGACCUAGUUAUUAUGUUAAUUAGCAAUAUGGCACCUCUGUAUAGUGGUUCUUAUUUUUAAGUCCUCACGCAGGAGGCAACUAUAGCCGCGAAGGGCAACUUUAACCAUUACCAUGUACAUGUAAAUGGUUUGUGAUACUCGAGUAUAAACUAUAUGGUAUAUUUCUAAACCCUGAUCGAGAUGACGUGGUGUCAUACGAUCAGUUCCUCUUAAAUACCUCGGAAACGCCAGAACUCCUCUUGCUGCUGUUAACAUUACGUUCAGAGCAUAUGAGGAUAUAAAUUCAUAGAACAGGUGCCAAAAUUGUUAAUAACUUAAUACUGGGCUACAACUAAAGUCGAUGAUUAUCAGCAGGUCGUGGACUGCGGGUAAAGCGUACAUCUACUGCAGUAGAAUAUCUUUGAAACUAUUCGAAUAGCCGUACUCAUGGAGUUGAGUACCGGGACUCAUAUGGUACCCUAGUUAGAAAUCUAAAGUUUAUAUGUUUUAUAAAUUCUUGCUAUAACUUUUCCAGAUUGUCCAAUACUGCUUUUUGCAAAGAACCCUAUUAUAUGUCCGAAUUCGCUAUCCAUCUGUCGACAGAUUUUCGUUUAAAGAUUUGUCGAUUUUUGGGCCAUAUGAUUUGCGUGGAGAUUUGUGCUAACUAAUACGAUGGAUAAAAGAGACAAGUCCGUGCGUAGCGGGGGAUCGAUUCCAAGAGCACUAGUUUUCCCUGUUAAACGUACACCACAGAGCAAUUAAGCCAAGUUGGUUCAAGACAAAAUAAAGUUUAUAUUGAAGUUACAGUGUUAGAAAACUAAAAUUACAAUGUAAUUAUACUAUAGUUACAUGUAUGUAAAUAUGGUGUAAUUAUAGUGUAACAAUAAUAUAAUUAAAAUUACAGUGCAAUUAUACUAUAAUUAUAUAAUUACAUAUGUAACUAUGGUGUAAUUAUAAUGUAACAACAAUGUAAUUAAAAUUACAGGGCAAUUAUACCAUAAUUACAUAUGUAACUAUGGUGUAAUUAUAGUGUAACAACAAUGUAAUUAAAAUUACAGUGUAACUAUACCAUAAUUACAUUUGUAACUAUGGUAUAAUUAUAGUGUAACAACAAUGUAACUUUAGUAGAUGGAUUGGUAAUAUCUUUGUAUGCACUAAAAAAUAUCUAGUAGAUAUCACACUAUACAUGAGCAGAUGAGCUCUCAAGGAUUAAUAAUUAAUAUGGAUAAAUAACCAACUAAUUUUGAUUAAGAAACGAGAGUGUGAAUUAACGUCGGAAGCCCAUCCAUACUAUCGAUUAGUAGAUGCGGGACCUCAGCAGUGCUGUACACGUGUCAUCCAUCUAUCGUUUAUGGGUUUAAUCCAAAGGUACAAAAUUUGACAAAUUUAUGAUGAAAAAUCUGUCGACAGAUGUGUAGACUCUCCCUUAUAUGUCAAUGCAUAACAUAUUCCCGUGAUAACUUGCUAAGUAUUGUAAAUACUCACCCUUGCUCUUAUAACCCCUUUUUCAGAUCUGGGUCAAGAGGAGGACCCUUAUGACUAUUACUACGAAGACCCCGAUAAAUUAGAAAAUCCCUAAAGGUUAUACCUCACUAGUCAGAAUGUAUAGAAACUUCCGCUGUGUAUUAAUUAGAUAGGUGAGUACCUAUUAUUGUAAAACCCUUAGUAUUGUAAGACUUUAACAUAUGUAAUGAAGAACCAGUUAUAUUGUAUGUAUCAAUUUUACUGAUCCAGGGAUUGAUACAUUAAUCUCAGUCGGAUCCAAGUUAUUGGUUUUGGGCUCCGACAUAUUUAUAUAACCCCUAAGGUGAUUUCGGAUAGUGUUUUUUUUAUCUAAUUUGUAUAUAAGUUAGAUGAGUUUGAUCACGUGAUAUACACAUUGAACAUAUUUGUUAAAGAUCUUUACUUAAGUUUUUUUUCCUUUACCCCUCGUUCGCUCUCACUUACAGAACGAGUACCAACAUAAUAAUUGUAUAGUAUCAUUGUAUGGCAUAAAUUGAUAACCUAUAUUGAUGAUAUUUAAAUUUGUUACAGUAGUUAUUUAAAACCACUUGUUUAAGCUUUGAAGAGUGAAAAAUCAUUGUCCAAAACCAUUUUAAGGGGUAAUGCGAAUUGUAUUAUAAAAUUUAGAUUGUUGGGUGUUUGAUUUUAAAGUUUAGCUGUUAGACGGAAUUCCAUCCAAAAUUUAAGAGAGGUAUUGUAUUUGGACUUUUUCUAUUUCCUUUUCAUUCUUAAAAUUAAAAAGACUUGUUCUAAUCCAAUCAAGCAAAACAACGUAUGGGACCCUAAACUAUGAAUCGAAUCAUCUCUCACAAUGGAUUGACCUAAGAAACAAUCUGUUUUCAAGAAAGCCAUUAAUUAAUAAACAAACCAAAACGCAAAAAGCAGGGGUGAUGUCGAAAACCCUUUUUUGAGAGAGCACUGGUGAUCGGCAGGAACAUGAAAUUCCUAAUUCCUUCAUGAGUCAGUUAAAAGUGUCAGCUGGGUCCUGUACAAUGCUACUGUUGAAAAUCUAAUCAAAAUUCGGCAUUAUUUUAUCUAAAAAUUCAUUAGAAAAAUCGAGACAACUAUGUGCGGCGUGAGUGAUCCAUUACUUGUGCUAAACAUAAAAAUGCUAGAGGUAAAAUUAGCAACUACGAACCCAUUCAACACAAAAGAAAUGAAUGCCGGAUUGAAACUCUAAAAUUACCCGGAAGAAAAGCUAGUGCUUGGAUCACUUUGAUCCAGAUGCAGUGCAGUUUAUCCCACCAACAGAAAGAGCAGUCAUGCUGUGAAGUGCUUCCCAAAAUCUUAAUCGCCCCAGACCUAAUGACCAUUUUUUUUAAUGUAGUGUAAGGCUGGAGUCGCUGUAGCUAGGUUUUACUACUCCGUCCGUUUCGUUUAUAAUGUAUCGGACUUUUACUAAGUUAAAUUUUUGUGAGUUAUUUGGCCAAUUUAUAGAAAAUAGUAGUAAAUUAAUUAAUUGUAAUAAAUCUAAAAUUGAAUAUAUUUAAUGGUAUGUUUUUAAAUUGUGUUAAAAGCGUUGCAGUGUUUUUAUGUGAACUUGAUAAACUUAAAAGAAAAUUUAUUAGAAAAAAUUGAAACGUUUUAUAAUAUAAAACUGAGGGAGUAGUUGGUUAAGCGCAUGUGCGUAGAUCAUCGGAGAAAAUAAUUAAAAGAGAGACGUGUAAACAGUAUUACGCAAGUUGAAUCUUAUUUCGGUGAGCUGUCUUCCAGCUGAUCCAGAUGCAGAUAGGUGGUAUACACUAGUCUUUGCCAGCCAAUUCUAGAUGGAAAGGAUCUGUACAAGCAAGGCCCAUGCACUUUGGAUAGGUCGCACUCGCCGACUUGUACAUGCACAAGUUGUAGAAUGGACGAUGGAUUUGGGAUUUGAGUUGCUCUUCGUAGUGCACCUGCGCUGGCACUCAGAUCUUCAGAUUUUUCAGAUUUUUUAGAUGAUGGAGAGCUUAUCAAGAUUGUAUGUCGUAGGCUUGAGACGACAGUUAUGCAACUUUUUACAAACUAUGGAUGGAGAUUCACAAAUAAACUUGAAUAAAUGUGUACUCCUUAUCUCGGUUUGGUCUUUUAUUUUAUUGGGUGUGUUUAAUUUUAUUUUGAACUACACUCUUCGUUUGAGUGAUACUUUGUAAUAAGGGCCAAUUACAUAUUUGCCACUAUUUUGAAUCGGUAUUGUGAAUUUGCCAUUACAAAAAACAUAAUUACAUAUUUGCCACCAAAAACGAUUGGAACCCAGCAUACCUACCAUCAAACUCACAGCAUAGACUAACACCGUUAGAGUUUGGUUUUCAUGAAAGUGAGGACAAGGAUGCCCCUCCCCAGGAAAUUGCAAUUCUACCACUGGAGCAUACAACCUAGUAAAAUCAUGCAGCAUAAGAAAAUAAAGAACAGUGGAACAUAUCAACAUACCUCACAGGAAGAUCGAUCGUGACCUCACAGGAAGAUCGAUCGGGACCUAGUCCUCAUCAUUUUGUAUAAUCUAUUCAUCAAAUGGAAUCUUUAGUAGAAUAUAAACAACCUGUUGAAAUGAAAAUUGGACGGUGCGACGGUUCGUGUAAACCCCGACACGGACAGGCCAUCACAAAUGCGGAAAUGCCAGCGAUCAGAUGAUCCGAUCCCCCUCCCCACUCCUCCACGUGGGUUCUUUUUUUUUGUUGUACACCUCAAGUUUUCACAUCUAAAGUUUAUACACCUAAAGUUUAGAGACCCAAAGUUUAUAAGUCAAAAGUUUAUAUAUCCGAUUCAAAUUUGAAUUUGAAUUCAAAUAUUUUUUAAUAUAGUAUUUAUAUACAUCUAAAGUUUAUACACCUAAAGUUUAUAGACCCAAAGUUUAUAAUUCAAAAGUUUAUAUACCAGAUUCAAAUUUGAAUUUAAAUUAUAUCCAAUUCAAAUUUGAACUUGAAUUCAAAUAUUUUUUAUACAUAGUAUUUCUAUACAUUUAAAGUUUAUACACCUAAAGUUUAUAGACGCAAAGUUUAUAAGUCAAAAGUUUACAUACCCGAUUUAAAUUUGAAUUUGAAUUCAAAUAUUAGUUUAUAGACCCAAAGUUUAUAAGUCAAAAGUUUACAUACCCGAUUCAAAUUUGAAUUUGAAUUCAAAUAUUAGUUUAUAGACCCGUUUACAUACCCGUUUGAAAUUUAAAUUUAAAUUCAAAUAUUUUUAUAUAUAGUAUUUUCUAUGCAUAAAAUUUUUCAACUUUGUUUUUUUAUUUUUUUUUAAAAUUUAUGGUGUACUGGGAAGAGAAAAAAGUGAGGAGGAAGGAAGAGAGUAGAGUAUAGAGGGGAGAGGGGGAGCGAUCACCCGCCCAUUAGCACCCCCUCACAAAUGAGCAGUUCUCUGUGUCCUAGUGACCGUGCACAGCUCAUGGUUUGCAUCGAUCAAAAUGAGCUGUGGUAUAUUAUCUCUCGUAGCUAGCUAACUAGCUAUAGCUACAUAUAUCUACAGUCAAACGCCCGGACCACGGGAAUAAUCCUAUGCGCACGCUUCAAAGACUCGUCAACAUCGUUGAUUAUCUUGACGGACUCGCUUUGCCGCCCAGCUUCGUCCUACAUUUUGCUAUACUAAAGUUGGUUCAAAUUUUUGUAAAAUAAUAAGCCCAUGAUUUUUUAGCACUUAAUUACAUGUAAUUAUUGGUGAUGUAGUUUACGAAUAAACCCGCCCAAAGUAAUGCAUUUGUAUUGUGCUUCGUGAAAAAAUAUAUACAGUAAUUCACACGUGUAAGCACGAAUAUAUAACUACGGAACAUCGUUUAAUUAAUUUCAAUAUUAGAAAUUGUUAUAUAUUCUCUCCGUAUUUUUAUGCGAUGUUUUUUUUAAGAGAUUUGCCUUUGAUAACUUGUUAUAACGUGAUAUAAUGAGAGAUGCCGUGUAUAUAUAUAAAAUUGUACAAUGUAUUGUGGAAGUAGUUUCAUAGGCAAAGCUAACAAAACUCAAAUUAUUUUUCAUAUGUCUCGGUCACGAUCGAUAUAGGUUUGAACGUAAACAUGCAUUAGUCAAAGUUUCUAGAGGAUGGUGUGUCAUGGAUUCUAGGACGUAAUAUAAAAUGAGCGGUGGGAGUAUAUUAUCUCAAGUUCAUAGAAUUGAAAUUAUAUGUUUGCACCUCCACUAUGUAAUAAUAAAUUAAUAGUGAUCAAAUACUUCACCCUUUUCUAAAUAAUUGUAAGUGUUAACUAUUCCUCUUUCAAUUCGCGCACUAAUUAAUUAUGUUUAGAUAGAAUGUAAUAAUGACUUAAUUUAUAAGUGGAGUGUAAAUUGCAUGCUGUAAAUGAGCAAAACUUGCCAUAGACCAAUGGAGAACCUACAUGCGCGUGUGACCAAUAUAUUGUCUAGAUAUGAUGGAUGGAUAAUAGCCGUCUAAAUCAUUGUUAUUGCACCGAACCACUGAGAACAAGGCUGCCAAAAUAUGCACAAGUUGAUGGAGCGGUACGUAAUAGUCAUGGGUGAAUGCAUGCACAUGUGCUCGUGGACUAGAAACUGGGAGCAUGAACAGUAGUAUGCUUUUUUUCUUUUUCGGAAAUCAAUAGUAAGGUGGUUGUCUAUAUAUGAUCGUUAAUUCCUCCUAUAUACUAGAAAAAAAAUACUCGUGCGUUGUAAUAGGUAAAAAUAUUUUUGGAUGGCUAUACAUUUACUAGUUGGUUUUGCACCAAAAGCUCAUUCCUUCAUUCUUUUUUUAGUCUCAGCCUGCUCCCUUCCUUUGUUUGCAUGCCUCUCUUUGACCCAAGUCAGAAGUAGAGCUCUAGGUCUAGCUUGCAUAGCCGACUACCGUCUUCAACCUUCGAAAAACAGUCUCAUAUCUGUACGAUGCCAAAACCGAUCCUCUCCAUCAAAUCCAGUUGAAAUCUUUCUCAUCUCUUUUGAUAUACCCGAUCUCCUCUUUCCUUAUUAUCAAAAUCAGAGUGAAUCCACAAAAUUCGGGAUAAAACAGUGACUUUUAAAUCGAGAUUAAAUUCGGUGAAUUGAACUAGAAUUGUAAGGGAAAAUCAUGGGGAAAAUGAUGAGAAAAUAGUGGUGAAUGAUUUUUUCAAUCAAUUUGAGGAGGGAACACAUGGGGAGGUAGUUUGACGUGGCGGCGGCGCUAGAGUUCGGCUCGGCGAUGAAAAAAAUAUGGAAGAUAAAAAAACAAAUCUUUACCGCGUGUGAAAAACUGCAGGGUACACUCAGAAUAUGCCAUAGGUGCCGGUUUGUAAGUGUCCAUUAAUCCGGCACCAAUUAGUCAGCACCAAUAGCGAAAACCAACAUAUAUGAAAAAAAAUAGAACCGGCAUCUAUAGGUUUGCACGAGCCAAAAAAAAAAGAGCCGGCUCGAAUCAAGCCGAACUCACCAACGACGUCACCACGUCUGCCCCACAUUAAUUUCUCCUGACAUUCCCAAAUCAAAUUGAAAUCCCCACAUCGACAUCACAGAUCGACAUCCCCAAAUCAAAUUUAAAUCCCCGCAUCGACAUCACAGAUCGAAUGAACAGUCAACAUCAAAAUCAUUUAGAAAUUCACAAAAACAUCUAAAGAAAACUACAAUGGAGACUGGGGAGAGGAGGGGAGGGGAGGGCAGGGCUGGCCACUGGGUUUCUCUGCUCCACCUUCUUCCUUGACGUAGGGGGAGGGGAGAGCGCCGCCACCUGCCGCCCGCCUCCUCCCCUCAGGCGCCGCCACUUGCCGCCUGCCGCCUUCCCUCGUGCACCGCAGCCUACCGCCCCCCGCCCCCUCCCCCCCUCCCGCCACAUCUGGCAGAGGGGAGGGCGUCGCCGCCGUCUGCCGCCUCCCAUCGGGUGCCGCCUCCCCUCCCACCAGAUCCAGCGGAGGGGAUGCCGGAUCCAAUGGAAGGGGAGGGCUCUAUCGCCGCCCGCCGCUCCCGACAAUGAACGGAGAGGAGGACGGACGGAGGGAGGGAGGAUUAGAUGGAGGAAGGGGAGGACGGCUGGGAGGGGGGCGGCGACAGGGAGGGCGGUAGAGGAGAAGGCGAGGGGGGAGGGGUGCGACAGAGAAGUGAGAAGAGUAGAGGCGAGUGGAUAAGCGCUUCUCGUGUGCGCGUGCGAGUGGAUAUAGGCGGCCGGCUCAGCUCACCCCUUUCGGCUCGAUUGGGUAUAGGUGCUGGUUGUUUAAAAGAACCGGCACUUAUAAUACAUUAAACUGACAUCUAUAAUAUUGGUACCUGUUUUUUAUUUUUAAAAAACCAACACCUAUAAUAAGAACCGACACCUAUGCAUCUUAAAGGCGCCGGUUCUUAUUUUUUUUUCAUCAUGUGGAGGUGGGAAAAAACUUAUAGGUGUCGGUUUUAAAUGAACUGGCACCUAUAAAGCUAAUCUCCAUGAGGGUUUUUUACUAGUGGUAAAAAAAUAGCGAAAAAGCCGGAUGGAAAAAAAACCGGAAAAAAGGCAAGGGAAUAAAAAAGAAAGUAAAAGAAACAACGGAUGGAAAAAACUGAAAAAAACUAAGAAAAAAGGCGCGCGGGAAAAAGACAAAACGAAAAAAAGGUCUAACUAUAUUUAUACCGUCAUAUUUUUUAUCAAAAAAAUAGUCAGCGUGUAUUUAUAUUGUAAGUCUCAAAAUUACAUAUGUAAGUCCCAAAAUUACAUGUGUAAUUUUAGUGUAUUUAUAAUGUGAGUUCUAAAGUUACGUAUGUAUUUACAAGGAACAAUAUAGCGUCUCCUUUUCUAUGAUUACCUUAUUUUGAUGUAAUAAUUUGGUGUUAAUCAUAUUCUUAUGAACUAGCGUGUGAACACACAUUAUGGUAGAGACACGGAAGUACUCCGGCAUGAAUCUAAUAGGAGAUCCCAGGGAUACAAAUCUGACUGUAAUCUAACAAGAUUUAUGGCGAUAUAAUUAUAGCAAAACCGAAAAAAAAACGGAGAGGAAAAAAGGAAAAAAGGGCAAAAAAAAAAGAAGAAGAAAAAAGCAAAGCAAAAGAACAUGGGUCGAUAACUAGUGGCCAACUAGAUCAGCGCGUGGGCAUGAUCAAAAUUCAAAAGCAAUGUGUACAUGUAAAUAAACUAGGAAAUUUUGAAUAAGAUUUCCAGCCAACCUAGUGUGUGGAAUGCAUAUGGUCAUAUUUUCCGUAUGGGCCGGGGGAGUCUUCUAUUUUGGAUCAAUGCGUGCAGAAUUGCGAACGAAUAUAUUCCGGAUGAAACUAUGCAUGUUGCGCCGAUGAAAUGCCAAAAACCAGGGCAGCUACAUCUGCAUCCAUGCAGCAGCAGCCAAAAACCAAAUUUAGUGAACAAUUCAACAAGACAAUACCACUGCCUCUGCAUGCAUGGAGGAUGGAUCAGCACCUCUAUCCUUCUAUCUCUUCCCCAAACAAAUUUAGCAAAACUUUGAACAAGACAAUACCACUGCCUCUGCAUGAAUGGAGGAUGGAGCAGCACCUCUCUCCUCUCCUAAAUUACUUAUCUGAUUUACGAUCCGACUUAACCACUGUAUUCAUUGAAAUUGAAUCUUUAAAUUAAAAUAUUACAUGAUUAUAUUUAUCACAAAAAUAUAAAUGAUUAUAUCCAAAAUUGAAAUAUUUAUGAUACAUAAAAUAUCUAGUUAUAAUUGUUGAAACAUCAUAAAUAUAUGUUAAAAUAUAAAAGAUAGCCUGUGCAACAUUUAACAAUAAACUAAGUAACGAAACGUCGGAAAAAUAUCCAAAUAAUACUGUGCAUGGGCACAUUAUAAGAAAAACUUCAUUUGCAAAAACAAAAAAAAAGAAUAUGCAAUAUAGUCGAAUUUCAGUUAGAAUCACGAGAGAUCUUUCGAAAAAGCUUAAUUACCAUGAAUACAAUGAUACAGCCGGCUUAAUUAUAUAUCAGCUACAUCAUUUAGACUAAAAAAGUCAUUUGAAGUGUGUUAAGUGGAGCUUCUCUUAGCUAGCUACUUGCACUCCUAUACUACCAUGAAGACAGAAGAGAGGGAAAUCUCGAUGGGAGAGAGAGGAGAUGGGUAGAAAUUAGUGGGUGGUGUGUUAGUUAGCUGAGAGCGGGGGUAUGUCUGAUUUUUUUUUUCUUGACGAGAUUGGGCGCAUGACAGUGAGCAUUUUCCAUCAUAUAUUCCUCACAGAAUAGACACCCAGUCACAGCUCAUAGUAUUUGCAUCCCCACAGGUCACGGCAUUAUCAUUUAAGAAAAUGGCAAGUGCCAUUGGCCUUCCUAGCUCUCUGCCGGCUAUAAAACGGUGCCUUGGGGGAGCAUGCAAUACCACAGCAAAUCACUCCACUCCUCCACUCAUACACCACCACACUGCACACACACCCAACAAAGAUGAAGCUUACCAUGAAGCUUUCCAUCGCCCUGGCCUGCUUCCUCUUCUUCCUCGCGGCGGCGACCACCGCCUCCGCGCAGUGCACGUUCGAGAUCCUCGUCAAGACCGACGGCCGGAGGAACGCCGGCACCGACGCCCGCGUCUCGCUGCAGGUGCGCGCCGCCAGCGGGCCGACGCUGACGAUCACCAACCUGGAGUCGUGGGGCCAGAUGGCCGCCGGCCACGACUACUUCGAGAAGGGGAACCUCGACCGGUUCAGGGGCGCCGGCGCCUGCAUGCCGUCGGAGCCCUGCAACAUGGUGCUCACCUCCGACGGGUCCGGCAACAAGCCCGGGUGGUACGUGAGCUACGUGAUGGUGACGCAGCUCGGGCAGGGGAGCCUCCCGUCGAUGACGCACCGGUGGGCGGUGGAUCAGUGGCUGGCCAUUGACGAGGCACCGCACAUGCUCACCGCCGAGCGGAGGGGCUGCGGCAUUGGCGCAGCGGCGCCAUGAUCAUCGAGGUAGCUGCCUAUAGCUCCAUCGACCAGUGUUGUCUCUGCGUGCAUCAGCAUGCUAGUAACUUAAAUUAAUAAUAAGUUCCAGGUCUAAGCCCUGUACUAUGUGUGGGGCACAGUGUCUGCUUUGCCAAUGUAACGUGAUCAUAAUAAGUCAAUUCAAUUCAGAGAGUGAAUUGCAGUUUGUGCCAUCUUUCGUUAACAAAGGUUUAUAGUUACUGAGUUGCUCGCUCCCAGCAAGAUGCCGAAAUAUUAUUUUUAAGUGUGUAUGAUGCUUUCACGAAAACAAGAGGAUACCAUGUGCAAUAGUGCUACGCGUUGGAAUUGGUAGCUAAGAAGCAUUUAUGUCAGUUUGGAUGGUAUAGUACUUAUAAAAUUUUGUGCUAGAAUAACGUACCCGACCCUUUCAGAAGAUAAAGAAGUAACACCAGUGGAUAAAAAAAAACCGUCACAUGCCCUGUUCCCUAUAAAUAAGGAGAUCCAAUUUUUUUUUUUUUGAGAUCCCCUCUUCUUCCUCCUCAAGCCCCUAUCACAAUUGACAAUAGCAGACCUCAUACUACACCAAGACUCAUAUCGGAUCUAUUCAUCCUAUUUAAAAAAUAUACCUAAUUAUCUUUUAUUUUUGUUGUAUAUCCAAAGUGCGCUACCGUGGAGCGUAGAGUUGUAUUUUCUUUGUUUUAAAAUAAAUCAACUUCUAGAGUUUAAAUUUGUCCUAAAAACCAAUUUCUAACUUCUUACCUACCAUUAAUAUGCAAAUCGAGAAAUUUUAAUCAUUCACUACCCUUACCUAUCUAUCCACCAAUAUAACUUAUCUAUUAAUUAGAGAUAUUUUGGUCUAUUGUUAUUAUUCUACCGGAAGAGAAUAGCUACUGGAGAAGGGAUAAGAACGAUACCGGGCACCAGCUAUUCUCCAAAAUGUCCCCUAACUAAUGAUUAUGUUGCUCUCAUCUCUCUUUUAAAAAUUCACUACUAAAAUUUAUAUGGUUUCCUUAGUCACCCCACUCGAUCUUGUCCUAUUUUCGGGUUCCAGGAAUUUCCACCAAUACCAAAUGCAAGCAACAUCUCAAUAAUAUAUGUACGUUAUUCAACAACUAAAAAGACCAAAGCUUUCGAUAAAGCUCGUUGAGCAAAUAGCCUAUUUAUUAGAUAAAAUAUUACCAUUACAUAUGUUAUACAGUACUCUCUCCAUCCAAAAAAACGAAUCAUAUAUCCAGAUUCUUCGUAGUACUAAGAUGUGUCACAUUUAGUACUAUGUUGAUUUUUUAUAGGACAGAGAGAGUAUAUACACGAUGGCCCAUUACGCGGCAAAGCAGCGUCUCUUUUAUAGUUAGUUGAGAGUGAAUAUUAUGAACGAAAAUUUACGCCAUCGAACCUUCGCGCCGUGAGCCUCUUCUACCAAAAAUAAAUAAAAAUUAAACGGAGGAAAACGUUCCCCUCUUUCUCACUGGGGCUCUCGGCGGAGUCUCGGAAUCGGCGCCGUUCGUCGGAAUCCGAUUCCGAUUUCCAAGUUUCCCCACGCAAUGCCCAUAUAGCCCCACCAGCCGCCUGCCUCGGUACGUAUCUCUCUCGAGUCUCGACCCACCGCGUAUUCCAAUCCAUCCAACCGUCGCCUUCUGGGUUGCCUGCUUGGUUUUCCAGCCAGCGCCAUGGAUUCACGCUCCUCCGUCAAACGGUGAGUCCUCCAUGCGCCUCUGGUUCGAGGAAUCUAGUUUUUAUACUUCAUUUUCCGAACGACGAAUCUAUCUCUGCUGCUUCUCAAUCGCAUCCACCAGAGCCUCAAUCUACUGCUGCUGCUGUGCCUCGCUCACAAUGGAUUAGAUCUUUGAAAUGAUACAUCUUUAAAAGAAACUUUUUUGUUUUAUUAAUUGACUAGAAAAAUGUCCGUGCAUUACAACGGGUGAAAAAUUUCUAAUGAUAAUAUAUAUUUUUCAUGCAUAACCAUGUCAAUGGCAAUGUUUGUAUGGAUCGUUUGUAGCUAAAACAAUCAGAAAAUUGGAACAUCUUCAAUAUAAUAGACCAACCUCGACGAUGGCAACCUUACCGAUGUUUACUUUAUCUAAAAUAAUUGGAUUAUUCAUGUGACAACAUGCAUAUAAUCUAAAAUACUCUUUCAAUCUCAUUCCUGCAACCAAUAAUAGGACCAAUUAAAUCUUACCCUGUCUCGCAUGACCAAGUCUACACAAAAUAGAGUCAUUGAGCACUCUUCUCUAAAUAACAAUUAAAAAUAUGUUUAUUUUUUAAUAUUAUUUUCAUAUAAUAUGUUAUCAAGAAUAGUAGCUAUACUUAACAAAAAUAGGUUGAUAAUUGCCUACAGAGAUACACAGGGUCUCUAAUACAUGAGAAUAAAUGACGAAACAAAAGUCAUAGAGGAGAUGGAAAAAACCGAUGGAUCCUAUCCGACCCAAGCAUCCAUCAAUUCAGCUUUUUUUUAAUGACCGUUUUCUCAGAGCGGAUUGUAUUUUUAUAAAUGGUAUUUUUUUUGCAUGAUUUUUUCAAACUAUUUUUUAUGAAAUGGUGUGUUUUUCUGAUAGUUUUUCCCCUGCAGGUUUUUUUUUUUGCUUUUUUACGGAUGAAGGAAACCCUUUUUUGUUCUCGUUCUUUUUUUUUGUUUAUAUUAGAGAUAGAGAAUAGAUAUAUACAUACUACUAAAACAAAUUAAAAUUGGUUCUUUUUGCCGUGCUCUUUUUUCUGACUUUUUAAUCGGACUCUCUUUUUUUCUAGGUUGUUUUUUAUUUGGACUGGUAGUAAAGGCCGUGCUUUUUUUUCCCGACUUUUCGUUGUCUAGUUUUUCCCCUUUUGGAAUUGAAUCUACGUUUAUUAUUUUUCUUUUUUUUCGCCGCUUUCGUAGGGGAGACAGACUUUUUUUUGCUUUUUUUUUUUUGCAAAACAGACUCAAACAUGGAUGACAAAUCGUGGAAAUAUCUUUAAUUUUUAUAACCUACUCAAACACGAAUGACGAAUGGCGGAAGCAUCUUUAAUUUUUAUAAUAGUAGAGAUCGGACAAUUAUUUUUGGGAAUAAGACAUAUUCGUUUUUUCCCCCGAUUUUUCUUUUACCGCGUCAGAUUUGGUUUUUCUUUUCUUUUUUUCACACGUUUUCUUUCGCUCGGUUUUUUUGGAUCGGAUAAUUUUGGUUUUUUUUCGUCCGGUCUUUUUCCGCCCUUUUUUCGGAUCGGACAUAUUUGCAGAUUUGGUUUUUCUUUUCUUUUAUUCGCACGUUUUUUUCGCCCGGUUUUUAUGGACCAGACAAUUUUGGUUUUUUUUCGCCUAUUUUUUCUGGACGUUUUCUUUCACCGGUUUUUUUAGAUCGGACAAUUUUGGGUUUUUUUGCCGGUUUUUUCGCCUCUUUUUUCUGGAUUGGGCAGAUUUGGUUUUUCUUUUCUUUUCUUCCGCACGUUUUUUCACCUAGUUUUUUUGAUCGGACAAAUUUGGUUUUUUCGCCCGGUUUUUUUGACGGACGAUGGAAGCACCUCUUAUUUUUUUAAGUAGUAGAGAUAGUGGAUUCCAAUAGACAUAGUGAUAGCCCUAGGGGUGAAAACGGUAACGAUAAUUACCGGCCGACCGGCGUUCGUUUUCGACUUUCUACCGGCCGAGCUAUAUGGAAAUGGUAAUCGACCGAAACAAAAAUAAAAAUGGUAAAAAAUAUGGAAAUGAAAAUGGAAAUGGUUUUGCUGUUAUACCGAUCGUUUCCGUAUUUACCGUAUCAUAGCCCCACCAAACGAAGGGAGAAAAAAAACAACACAAUGGUCUGCGUCACAUAACAUUUUUUUACUUUCGGCAUGAUGAACAUCUCUCUAGUUUCAAACAAAUUUGUUGUUGUUUGCUUUGUGUUUACCGCUAAAGAUAUCUCAGGUGACAUAUCCUGGUGGUUGUCUUUCAGGAGCCCCAGAAAACCAUUACCACCGGAAGCGUGUCAAGGCAAGAGCAGCUAUUUUCAGGAGCACCAUGCCAUGCUUGAAAAUAAGGGAAAAUCUCCAUACCACCACGCUCUGCACGCAUGGCGCUUCGCCUUCUGUCCACCGAUCUCAGAUUCCCCACAGGCAGCCACCGUGAUUCCACCAAUUAAAAGAAAAAAACUACAAGGAUGACUUAGAACACCACAUCAGCAUCAUAAAAAAAGCCUUGAAUUCCUACAACAUGGCCAAUGAUAACUUGGACUACGAGUUUACAGGAGGUAUGAGGAUAAGCAUCAUCGACGAGUUUGGAUCAACCUACCAUCAUUGCAACUUUCUUGUCUUCUCCCCUACCAUGCGAACCAUCCAUCUCUUCACGGAGUUCGAUGCCAACACCCAGGACGAACGUGGCGUGCACGUGUUCUGCCCCAUCUUCCUUUGUCGCAAGGAGUUUGGCAUUUGCUAUGGUUGUGGACUUAUGCACCCUAGAACUGAUGAUUACGUUGCAGGUCGUACCAACAUUUGGACUCCCUACGGAGAAGAGGAGGAGGAGGAUUUUGACUAAAGAAUUUCUGUGUAUUCAUUCAGCAACAUGUCAACUUAUUUUAUGUUUUGGAGUGUGUUUUGAACUGCUGUUUAUCUUGAGAUAUCUUUUGUGACCUUCAUGGAAUGCCGUACCACCUUGUUUUCAGUAAAAUUUCGUUUGUGAUCCUCAUGAAGAUACAAAGUGCUAUACCACCUUUUUUUUUAUUUUUUAGUAAUAUUUUAAUUUCUCUAUACUGUGGAUCGAGAUACCUCCAGGAACUGACUCAAGACUAACAUCCCAUAUAUACCAAAGCAUUAUACCAAAUAAUAGCCCAUAUAUCACAAAGGUUAUAUAGGCCCAAUUAACAUCCAAUAUUACACAGGCCCAAUUAAUAUCCAAUAUAAAAAUACAAACCCAGUUAACAUACAUGGAAACAGGUUCACCGACUACUCAGUGACCACAACAAGCUCAUGUACAUGGCACUGACCAUAGCAAAACAAACAACGUGCAUUAGUAAAAACCAGUCUUGCUACUGCAAUGGCGCUCCUUGAAAAGAUCAAUUGCUGCAGGCGGCGGCACAUCUUCAUACUUAGCUUUGCUUCCGAAACUGCAUGCAAACAAUUUGUAAAUUCAAUGACAUCGCUCUCCAAAAGUUUUUCCAUAUGCAUAUUUAAAAUGCUAGGUACAACAUACCAUCACUGUAAAGUUUCCCUAUCCAUAAUGCCAUCCAAUGUGUGAAUGAAAUAUGGGUGCUAGGUGCAUACCCAGUGAGUAUUAUCCACCAUGUCUCAGAACCACCAUAAGGGUUUAUAUAGUUAAAAAACAGUAGCCUAAAUAAAAAUAUAGUGAGUGAUGGUACAUAAGUAUUACCAACUCCUAAAAAAUGCACGUCUACCUUCAGUGGCUCAAACAUGAGACUUCCAAACUCAAUCUAAAAAAAAUAGCUAUUAUGCAUAUAACAGAAUUUAGGUACACCUCAUACUAGUAAAUCAGAUCAAAGGAACUUAUGCGCAAAGUAGAUCAUGAGCAAUAUUUUAAUUUAUCAAAUAACAGUAAAAAGGAACUGGCAAAUUUUUCAUGUAUCUUACCACGACAUGGCACUUCACAAUGUAGCUCCAAUAGGCCGUCCUUUGCUGGUUCUGAACAUUCUCAUGGUUUUAGUUCAUUUUCGGACACAUGUCCUACAGAAAAGCAAACUACAAGAUAAGCAGCUUACUUAUAUCACGUAAACAAAAACGACAAGUCAUACACAACAUUUACAGAUGGAGAGAAAAGACACGUUUUAUGAUUUUCACAAUAUUUACAUAUGAAUAAAAAAUAUAUUCUAUGAUUUUCACUUGAAUACAAGACUAGAUCAGUCAACAAUAUUAAAUGACAAAAAGUCAUCAACAACAAAAUUGUAUAACUCAUCAAUAUCUAUAACUUUUAUUUUGAUCAUUUUGCUAUAUGACUUUGUUUCAAUAAUUUGAAUUUGAAUUUGAAUUUCAAAUUUUGACAACUUCAAAAAACAUUUUCAAAUAUUAAAUGAUUUCAACUGAAAAAUUCAUCAACUACAAAGUUGUAUAACUCAUCAAUAUCUAUAACUUUUAUUUUGGACAUUUUCUUCAUCCGACGAAGUGAUAGUAAUGUUGAUCAUAAAAAUUACAUACCUCUCUUAUAGUUUAUAAACUAUAUAAGAGAUAUGUACAUUUUGUGAACAAUGUUACAAAUCACUUUCUCUGUUGCUGAAAAGAAAAAAAAAAAUCUUGCUGACAUGGUCUUCUUUGCAACCUGGAAUGGUCAGUUUAGGAACCUGGAAUGUUGUCCUUGCACAACUAACGAAGUAAUGAUAUGGUCUUGAUUUGCAGGAUAAGGAGACUAGGAGGGUGAUUGGGAGGAUCUACUACUUCUUUGUUGGAUCUGCCACUUCUUGCAAUCAGCAAACAUACGUAAGAAAGUGCCUUUAGCAAAUUGAUCUCUUCAAACUCCUAUCUAAACAUGAACAAUAAGUCCUCGAUCGGCCUUGAGUGAUUAGGGAAUGUCAUAUAUAUAGCAUUUGAAUGAACUUAGCUUCAGUCUUAAGACUCUUGGUGCGAUUACAAACUCUGAACUCAAGUGGAGAACACCUCUCUUUUUAGGUCAACAUUCUGAAUCUGCAUUGGCAACAUGCAGGCAUCUUUGAAGGGUUUCUCAAUGGGUCUAUGAGGGCACCAAUUACACACUAAUAAUUUAGCAUUUAAGCUGUAGGAAGCCUGUCGAUCUCCUGUCAUGUAUACAGAAAUAGGAGCUUUGAAGUCUUGUGCAUCUGAAGCCCAGAAUACAUGAAGCUCCUAUGCUGAGUUUUUAUCAUCACUAUGAAUUUCUAAAGAUGCCCUGUACACUUGAAAGUUCACUGCUGAAUUUUCGAGCUUUUACUAUUGUUCUAAAAUUCUUGAGAUGUACUAUCAGGACUCAAAAGUUGAGUGUCUCACUCCAUUGCAUCUUGUUUUUAAGAUACUUAAAUAGAGGAGCAAUUAGAACAAUGAGAUGCCAUUCAAUCGUUUGAACUAUUUUGUCACGUGAGGAAACCUGGGGAGUAGUUUAAUAUUCUUUUUUGUUCACUAUUUUCUCUCUAUUUUUGAUCUAUCAAACAGAUGCAUAAUAAGAUGCUAGCCUCGUCAUCAAUGAAAUGUGUGCACUGCAUAUUUCUGUUGGUUGUUUCACAAAUUCAUAAUAUUUGAUCUAUCAUCUCAUUUAUUUUCAGAAAUGGUUAAGAUUGUUGGGGGCUCCACACCAUCAAGUACAAAAUCAGGUUAGCCAUGUGCAUGUUAUUGACUCGAAUGAUGCACUUUUUGCAUGCUAAUUUCGCCCAUGUCUUCCUUUCUUAUGCCCUCUUGCAAAUAUAUAAUUUUUUUUGAGAAAUUUAACGAUUUACUAUUAACAAACGCCCGAUUAUUUAUUCUUUUUUAAAAUGUGAUCAUUUUGCUCAUAAAAUGUGACCUAUUUUAAGCAAGCCAUGCUUUAGUUCCUUUUUAAAAAAUUGCAUUCAAAUAACAGUGCAUUAGCACAAAAAUGUGCCGUUGUCUGCUGGGCUAUUUUUCUCUCAAAGGUUUAGAAGUGACAAAUUAAAAAUCUUGGACUAUUGAAGUCAUAUACUUGGAGGAUGAUCCCCUGGUCAACGACGUAGUAAUAUGCCCGUGUAUCUUGUUCUUUAGAUACAGAUCUUAGCUAGGAUUUGGGAUGAAAGCAAAAAAAGAUGCGUUCACAUGUAUAACGGUCACAGAGGACCAAUUAGAACAAUCAGAUUUAUAUCCCUGGGAUUCAUGUUCUGGGCAGAAAUUCUGUUUAAAUCUGCAAAUAUUAUUUUAUACCAUAUUUUUAAAUUAGAUAGGAUGUGGAACUUCCUGCUACUAUUGGUGUUUCAGUAAUCUGUAUUGGCAAUACAGUUGUUCUCAUGGAAUUAAUAUGUUUGCAUCUAUUCAUAUAAUCUCUUGUCCAAUAAUUUUCUGUACCUUUCUGGGAUAUAUUGUGAUGUAACUAUAGCAGUUGUUCACUGAUUAAUACACCUUCUAGGUCUGCACUUUGAAUCUUUAUGUGGACUUCCACCAACUGAACUUGGCCACUGACUAACUAUGAUUUUGAAUGGUAUUGAUUGGAUGUGUGAUGGAAUCGGUUCACAUUUUUUGUCCUGUACAAUAUGAGUGUGAUGUGUGAACUGUUAGAUUUUUGUGAUUUGAUUACUGGCACAAUGUGAUGCAAUCGGUUGAACUUCUUUGUCAUGUGUGGAAACCCGGGGAGAAUUUGUUUGUCUAUAUUUUAUACACGCUUGUAAAAUUUAAUUGUGAAUUGAGAUUGUAAAUAUGGUGCUCUAGAAAAAAAAACUACAGUUAGCUAUGGAUUUAAAUUAAUACUCUCUUCGUUUCAUAUUAGAAGUCGUUUUGAUUUUCUGCAGUCAAACUUCUUAAAAGUUUAAUUAAGUUUAUAGAAAAGUCUAUGUACUUAGUACCUAUUCAGCAUUUAUUUAAUAAAAAAAUAUGGGACCCACCUAUCAUACUCUUCUUCCCCUCUUCCUCUCUCUCUCCUCUCUAGCUCUUCCUCUCUCUCUUGCAGCGCGCACGGCAAGGACGGGCGGUGGGCGUGGGCGGUCGGCGAGGAUGGCGUAGGGACGGGCGGUCGGCGAGGACGACGGUGCGGACGUCGGCACUCAAGACGGCAUGCACGGUGCGGCGGCAGGAAGGCGUUCGGUGCUGCGGUCCGGGAGGGAGCAGCGGCGGCAAGGGACACAGAUGCAGCGACCACACGGGAAGCAGAGGCGGCAGCGGCGAACUCCGCCUCCGCCACUGGUCGGGAUGGCGCUCGGGAUGAGGGUGGUGGCUGGUGGCGGAGGCGGCUGGAGGCAGAGCUCGGGAUGAGGCGAGGCUACGGCGGUGAGGUUGGCUCUGCAAGCACGAUAGAGGAGGCGAGGCGACAGCGGAAGAGCGUGGCUGCGGAGGAAGUGAGGCGGCGGCGGCGACGGCGUCGACUUUUUCAUUGACAACGGCCCGGUCGACCACUACGACGACCUCGCCAGUCGCAUCCAUGACCCCGAUGGAUCUCCGAUGCCGUUGCCCUUGUCCAGGAGCAUCUCCGAUGGCUUCCCCGUGCUGUAGAACGCGAAGUAGAGCACGGACUGGAUCCACGUCAUCUCGGUGCAGUCGCUCGCCAUCACGUUGAGCUCCAGGAAGGUGUCGGCCAUGGUGGCGACGAGGCCGGCACACGGUACAGGGGCACGACGACGCGAAGGAAGGCGUCGUUGGGAAGGGACGACGCCACAUGCUGCCACUUGAUGAGGAGGUUGGUGGCGGACUGGUUUCUUGAGCGGUGGACGGUGAACACCGUGACGGUGGCCGGAAUGGGGACAAGCCGGAGCUUCCAGGACAAGACGAUCCCGAAGUUUCUGCCGCCUCCGCCUCGGAUGGCCCAGAAGAGGUCCUCCUCCAUGGUGGCCCUGUCGAGGAGCCUCCCCUUGGCGUCCACCAUGGUGGCGUCGAGGACGUGGUCGGAGGCGAGGCUGUGUGCUUCCGCAGCAUCAGGUCGAAGCCGCCGCCGUUGAGGUACCCGCCGAUGCCGAACGUCGGGCCGACACUUCUGGGGAACCUAAGGCGGGAGGUUUUGUUGGUGAUGGCAUAGUACACCUCGCUGAGCAUUUUGCUGGAGCCGACCCACGCUGUCUGGCCACGGACGUCGACCACCCGCCGCCGCCGCCGCUCGACCUGCGCCGUCGGCCCGAGAGAGAGGGGGCGAGAGAGAGACAAGUGAUAGAGUAUAUAUGAAUUUAUAUAAAUAUUUCCCAUUGCAACGCAUGGGCACCUAACUAGUAUUUAUGGAACUCAGAUCAAUAC
Molecule: long non-coding RNA, 40112 nt
Filed under: Oryza sativa (Asian cultivated rice)
Lineage: Eukaryota; Viridiplantae; Streptophyta; Magnoliopsida; Poales; Poaceae
Description: long non-coding RNA (OSAT_LNC001834)
Rfam family: MIR821 microRNA precursor family (bases 2391-2661)
Source: RNAcentral